AGAGUUUGAUCCCGGCUCAGAAUCAACGCUGGCGGCGCGCUUAACACAUGCAAGUCGAACGAGAAAGGGAGCAAUCCUGAGUAAAGUGGCGUACUGGUGGGUAACACGUGGAUAUCUACCUCCUGGUGGGGAAUAACCUGGGGAAACCUGGGCUAAUACCGCAUAAGUUCGAGAGAAGAAAGGCGCAAGUCGCCGGGAGAGGAGUCCGCGGUCGAUUAGGUAGUUGGCGGGGUAAAAGCCCACCAAGCCAAAGAUCGAUAGCCGGCCUGAGAGGGCACACGGCCACACUGGCACUGAAACACGGGCCAGACUCCUACGGGAGGCAGCAGUGGGGAAUCUUGCACAAUGGGGGAAACCCUGAUGCAGCGACGCCGCGUGAGCGAUGAAGCCCUUCGGGGUGUAAAGCUCUUUCGGCAGGAACGAUAAUGACGGUACCUGCAGAAGAAGCUGCGGCUAACUACGUGCCAGCAGCCGCGGUAAUACGUAGGCAGCGAGCGUUGUUCGGAAUUACAGGGCGUAAAGAGUGUGUAGGUGGUGUCGUAAGUUUGGUGUGAAAUCUCCCGGCUCAACUGGGAGGGUGCGUCGAAGACUGCGAUGCUGGAGUAUGGGAGAGGAAAGCGGAAUUCCUGGUGUAGCGGUGAAAUGCGUAGAUAUCAGGAGGAACACCUGCGGUGUAGACGGCUUUCUGGACCAUUACUGACACUGAGACACGAAAGCGUGGGGAGCAAACAGGAUUAGAUACCCUGGUAGUCCACGCCCUAAACUAUGUCAACUGGUUGUCGGGGGAUUGAUUCCCUUGGUAACGAAGCUAACGCGUGAAGUUGACCGCCUGGGGAGUACGGUCGCAAGAUUAAAACUCAAAGGAAUUGACGGGGACCCGCACAAGCGGUGGAUUAUGUGGAUUAAUUCGAUGCAACGCGAAAAACCUUACCUACCCUUGACUUGUAGCGAACCUCGCAGAGAUGUGAGGGUGCCCGAAAGGGAACGCUAACGCAGGUGCUGCAUGGCUGUCGUCAGCUCGUGUCGUGAGAUGUUGGGUUAAGUCCCGCAACGAGCGCAACCCUUGUCAUUAGUUGCUACAUUAAGUUGGGCACUCUAAUGAGACUGCCGGUGACAAACCGGAGGAAGGUGGGGAUGACGUCAAGUCCUCAUGGCCCUUAUGGGUAGGGCCUCACACGUAAUACAAUGGUCGGUACAAAGGGUAGCGAACUCGCGAGAGGGAGCCAAUCUCAAAAAGCCGACCUCAGUACAGAUAGGAGUCUGCAACUCGACUCCUUGAAGUCGGAAUCGCUAGUAAUCGCUGAUCAGCAUGGCAGCGGUGAAUACGUUCCC
This 1332-nucleotide ribosomal RNA is filed under the name metagenome. Its description in RNAcentral is "bacterial SSU rRNA". It matches the Rfam family "Bacterial small subunit ribosomal RNA", at positions 8 to 1375 of the family's 1533-position model. The record is from RNAcentral.